RNAcentral lists this ribosomal RNA (541 nucleotides) under uncultured bacterium. RNAcentral describes it as "bacterial SSU rRNA". It matches the Rfam family "Bacterial small subunit ribosomal RNA", at positions 777 to 1318 of the family's 1533-position model. The record is from RNAcentral.
AAUAGAUACCCGGGUAGUCCACGCCGUAAACGAUGAGUGCUAGGUGUUGGGGGGUUCCACCCUCAGUGCUGAAGUUAACACAUUAAGCACUCCGCCUGGGGAGUACGACCGCAAGGUUGAAACUCAAAGGAAUUGACGGGGGCCCGCACAAGCAGUGGAGCAUGUGGUUUAAUUCGAAGCAACGCGAAGAACCUUACCAGGUCUUGACAUCCUUUGACCACUCUAGAGAUAGAGCUUUCCCCUUCGGGGGACAAAGUGACAGGUGGUGCAUGGUUGUCGUCAGCUCGUGUCGUGAGAUGUUGGGUUAAGUCCCGCAACGAGCGCAACCCUUGACCUUAGUUGCCAGCAUUCAGUUGGGCACUCUAAGGUGACUGCCGGUGACAAACCGGAGGAAGGUGGGGACGACGUCAAAUCAUCAUGCCCCUUAUGACCUGGGCUACACACGUGCUACAAUGGAUGAUACAAAGGGUUGCGAAGCCGCGAGGCCAAGCCAAUCCCAAAAAGUCAUUCUCAGUUCGGAUUGUAGGCUGCAACUCGCCUA